This 120-nucleotide ribosomal RNA is filed under the name Hordeum bogdanii. Lineage: Eukaryota; Viridiplantae; Streptophyta; Magnoliopsida; Poales; Poaceae. The record is from RNAcentral.
GAAGGUAAGCGUGCUUGGGCGAGAGUAGUACUAGGAUGGGUGACCUCCGAAGUUAAGCGUGCUUGGGCGAGAGUAGUACUAGGAUGGGUGACCUCCUAGGAAGUCCUCGUGUUGCAUUCC